ACACCGUUGGUGAAGUGGUUAUCAUGCUUGCCUUCCAUUUGUUGGUGAGCAAGCGGCUCGGGUUCGAUUCCCGAACGGUGUA
Non-coding RNA from Lentinula raphanica, 82 nucleotides. The record is from the annotation of a GenBank genome assembly. NCBI's taxonomy places the organism in Eukaryota, Fungi, Basidiomycota, Agaricomycetes, Agaricales, Omphalotaceae.